CUGAAAUCAUCAAUCAGCUCCAGCAGCAGAAAGAAAAAGCAGAGAAACUGAAGAAUCAGUUCAAAUCCAAAUGUCACGAGAUGAUCAACUCUGAGAAGGAUGGAAUCAUUCAGAAACUGAUGGAAAUAUUUCCUGCACUGGAAUCAGAGUUAGAGAAGAAAACUGAAAUCAUCAAACAGCUCAAGCAGGUGAAAGACAGAGUAGAGAAACUGAAGAAGGAGCUGGAGAAGAA
Molecule: long non-coding RNA, 232 nt
Organism: Pundamilia nyererei
Lineage: Eukaryota; Metazoa; Chordata; Actinopteri; Cichliformes; Cichlidae
Exons: 3
Source: RefSeq, a predicted model, not a curated record